GGGGGUGACUUGGCUUUGACGGAGGUAUCAAAGACCGAGGUGCAUGUCGAGAGGGUAGUGGCUCUCGUAAAUCAAUCACUGCGAUUUUUUAUAGUUGCCAACGACGACAACUACGCUCUAGCGGCUUAAGGCUGCUAGUUUCGGCCUGACGAGUGCCCUUGUAGACUGGCCGGAAUCAUUCAAAGGGAUCGCGAUUGGAGGUUGUGCCUGAUUCAAUCGCUAAAACCUCAGGUACUCGCUUUUUCGCAUCCUGCGCGACGGUUCGCGAUUAAGUUAAAUCAAUAGACGCGGCUAAGCAUGUAGAGCCAGAGUUAGCGAAUCGACGGACGCGGGUUCGAAUCCCGCCACCUCCACCA
This 356-nucleotide transfer-messenger RNA is filed under the name Gammaproteobacteria (g-proteobacteria). Its description in RNAcentral is "Bin55 sp009841635 Standard tmRNA". It matches the Rfam family "transfer-messenger RNA". From Rfam's summary of the family: Bacterial tmRNA, also known as 10Sa RNA or SsrA, is named for its dual tRNA and mRNA-like properties. Its role is to liberate the mRNA from a stalled ribosome. To accomplish this part of the tmRNA is used as a reading frame that ends in a translation stop signal. The record is from RNAcentral. Lineage: Bacteria; Pseudomonadati; Pseudomonadota. RNAcentral also lists the same sequence under 1 other name.